Non-coding RNA from Taeniopygia guttata (zebra finch), 5150 nucleotides. The record is from RefSeq and is a predicted model, not a curated record. Lineage: Eukaryota; Metazoa; Chordata; Aves; Passeriformes; Estrildidae.
CUGGUGUUUCAAAUCCACUCAUGAAUUUAACCAAAACACAAAAGUUCGGGGAGGCCCUGCUAGGCAGAGAUCAAAGCUCAGGGAAGGUUUGGGGGAUGUGGAUGCGACCCCUUUAAAGCAGGCACGGCCUGACCUCCGGCUGGAGAAGCCAAGACCCGUCUUCAGAAAUCAGAGUAAUCCCGGGUGAUUUUAUCCCACUCCACUUCCCUAAAUCUGCGGCUGCUGCUGCUUGGCGAGGGGAUUAAGGGCUGGCAGGGGAUUACCAACGCUGCAGCUCCCAGCGCGGAGCUCCCUCCUGGAGCGGCCGCUCGGGGACACGGAGCCGCUCCGCACCCACGGGAGCGCUCCGCGGGCCGGGACACGGAGCCGCUCCCCGGGCCGGGACACGGAGCCGCUCCGCACCCACGGGAGCGCUCCCCGGGCCGGGACACGGAGCCGCUCCCCGGGCCGGGACACGGAGCCGCUCCCCGGGCCGGGACACGGAGCCGCUCCGCAGCCGCAGCGGCGCUCCCGGGGCAGAGGCGGCCGCGGUGCCCCCGGGGCUCGGCCCCGCCCCGCCAGGGCUCCCGGGCCGGCAGCAUGGCCCAGGGCAGCAGGAAGGGCGGGCAGGCCCCGCACGCCGCCGGCAGGAGCCCCUGCUGAUGGCCGCUGCCCGGAGGAUGGGGCCCUGGGCUGUCCCCUGGAUGAUGCUGUGUCUGCUCUGCCUCCCGCCCUGUGCCAGGGCGCAGACGAAGAUCCCGCUGGAGACGGUGAAGUCCUGGGCAGAUGCCUUUGGUGGGGAGCUGUACUCCAUUGUGACUAAGUACUCAGGCUCUCUCCUGUUGCAGAAGAAGUACAAAGAUGUGGAGCCAACUCUGAAAAUCAAGGAGGUGGAUGGCUUGGAGCUGGUGAAGAAGUUCUCAGAGCAGAUGGAGAGCAUGCUCCGCAGGAAGGUGGAAGCUGUUGAGAGGCUGGUGGAAGCAGCAGAAGAUGCAGAUCUGAACCAUGAGUACAACUCCUCGCUGGAGUUUGAUUACUACAACUCUCUCCUGAUUAACGAUAAGGAUGAAAAUGACAAUUAUGUGGAGCUUGGGGAUGAAUUCAUUCUGGAGCCAAAUGAGCAUUUCAAUAACCUGCUGGUGAACACAACCUACAGUGAUAUCCAGCUGCCCACCAACGUCUACAACAAAGACCCUGCCAUACUCAAUGGAGUUUACAUGUCAGAAGCCCUGAAUCCUAUUUUUGUGGACAACUUUGAAAGGGAUCCCACACUGACCUGGCAGUACUUUGGCAGCUCCACUGGAUUCUUCAGGCUGUACCCAGGAAUAAAGUGGCUACCAGAUGAGAACGGAGUCAUCUCCUUUGACUGCAGAAACCGUGGCUGGUACAUCCAAGCAGCCACCUCUCCCAAGGACAUUGUCAUCAUUGUGGAUGUCAGUGGCAGCAUGAAGGGCCUGAGGAUGACCAUUGCCAAGCACACCAUCGUCACCAUUUUGGAUACUCUGGGAGAAAAUGACUUUGUCAACAUCAUUGCAUACAAUGAUUAUGUUCAUUUUAUCGAGCCCUGUUUUAAGGGUAUCUUGGUCCAAGCAGACAGAGAUAACAGAGAGCACUUCAAGCAGCUGGUGGAGGAACUGCAGGCAAAAGGAGUGGGCACUGUGAGCAAGGCUUUGACAGAGUCCUUCAAAAUCCUGAGAGAGUUCAGAGAUGCUGGCCAAGGAGGUUUGUGUAACCAAGCCAUCAUGCUGAUCACUGAUGGAGCCGUGGAGGAUUAUGAAGCUGUGUUUGAAAAAUACAACUGGCCCGAUCGGAAGGUCCGGGUGUUCACGUACCUCAUUGGACGAGAGGUCACUUUUGCCCCCAACGUCAAGUGGAUCGCCUGCAACAACAAAGGCUACUACACUCAAAUCUCCACGCUGGCAGAUGUCCAGGAGAAUGUCAUGGAGUACCUGCACGUGCUCAGCCGGCCCAUGGUCAUCAACCACGACCACGAUAUCAUCUGGACUGAAGCCUACAUGGACAGCGCGCUCUUUGCGUCGCAGGCUCAGAGCCUGCUGCUCAUGACGACCGUGGCCAUGCCGGUGUUCAGCAAGAAGAACGAGACGCGAUCCCAUGGCAUUCUUCUGGGUGUGGUGGGCUCUGAUGUACCACUGAGGGAGUUGUUAAAACUUGCUCCACGGUAUAAGCUGGGUGUCCAUGGCUACGCCUUCCUGAACACCAACAACGGCUACAUCCUGUCCCACCCAGACCUCCGGCCUUUGUAUAAAGAAGGAAAGAAACUGAAGCCUAAGCCGAACUACAACAGCGUAGAUCUUUCAGAAGUGGAGUGGGAAGACCAGGAUGAAAUACUGAGAAGUGCUAUGAUCAAUGGGGAGACAGGCUACCUCUCUAUGGAUGUGAAGGUCCCUGUGGACAAAGGGAAACGAGUUCUCUUCCUCACCAAUGAUUAUUUCUUUACGGACAUCAGUGGCACACCCUUCAGCCUGGGUGUUGUGCUGUCCAGGGGGCACGGGGAGUACAUUCUGCUGGGGAACACUUCAGUGGAAGAAGGUUUGCACGACCUGCUCCAGCCAGACCUGUCUUUAGCAAAUGAAUGGAUUUACUGCAUCACCGACAUUGAUCCCGACCACCGGAAGCUCAGCCAGCUGGAGGCUGUGAUCCGUUUCCUCACUGGAGAGGAGCCUGACCUGGAAUGUGACGAGGAGUUGGUCCAGGAAGUGCUGUUUGAUGCAGUGGUCACUGCCCCCAUGGAGGCCUACUGGACAACACUAGCCCUCAACAUGUCCUUGGAUACCGAGGCAGGCGUUGAGAUGGCGUUUCUGGGCACUCGGGCUGGACUCAUGAGGAGCGCCCUGUAUGUGGGCUCUGAGAAGAUUUCCAACAAGAAAUUCCUGACACAGAAGGACAAGGAAAGCAUCUUCACCAUGGACCACUUCCCUCUGUGGUACCGCAGGGCGGCCGAGCAUCCCCCCGGCAGCUUCAUCUACAGCAUUGUCUCAGAAGAUGAGUCAGAGGGAGGUGGCCUGCCAAAAGUGGUGACAGUGAGCACGGCUGUGUCUGUGUCUGUGGAUGGGAAGAUGGGAAUUGCUGCAGCUGUGGGUGUGCAAAUAAAGCUGGAUUUGCUCCAACGCAAGUUUUGGAUGGCCAUGCAACAGCCCAAUGACACUGAUUGCCGUGGCUUGGAUGGUGCCUGUCCACUCAGCUGUCAGGAUGAUAUUCUGAACUGCUUCCUCAUUGACAACAACGGCUUUAUACUUGUUUCCAAAAUACCUGAAGAGACUGGAAAAUUUUUUGGUGCAGUGGAUGGCUCAGUGAUGACCCAGCUGCUAAACAUGGGCAUGUUCAGGCGAGUGACCAUGUAUGAUUACCAGGCAAUGUGCAAGGUGCCCUACCACCACCACAGCGGCGCCCGACCCCUGCUCAGCCCAAUUUAUGCCUUUGUAGCUGCAGUGAAGUGGCUGAUAAGUGAUUUCCUCAUCUUCCUUUUGGAGUUUAACAUGAGUAGCUUCUGGCACUCAGACAACUUGGCAGAUGCCAAGGCUGUCUUCCAUCACUCUCACAAGCACAAGAAGCACGACACGCUGCAGCCCUGCGACACCGAGUACCCCGUGUUCGUCUACGAGCCGGCCAUCAAGGAGACCAACGGGCUCAUCGACUGUGGAGACUGCCAAAAGAUGUUUGUGGCACAGCAGAUCGUCAGCAGUAACCUCCUGCUCCUUGUCACAGACACUGUCUGCGAUUGCAGCGUCUUCCCACCCGUCCCAAUGGAUGCAAAAGAGGUCAAAUAUAUCCUUCCAUGCACAGCAGGGAUGCAGGGCUCCACAGGCCCUGUUUACCAGGGUGGAAAAUGUGCUUCUGCUGUCAUUGCCGUGGGGGUGGAGAGCAUGAACUGGCUUGGAGAGGUCUCCAGCCCGUGCAGAGUGACCUGCCCUUCCCUCGUCCUCCCGGGUGGUGCAGUUCCACCCAGCCAAACUUGUGUGGGGGCCCAGGGGGUCUGUGUGGCAUCCAUCCCCUUUCCCUGCCCGCCCCGGCGGUCCUUAACAGCCCCGCACACAACGCGUCGGUGAAGUGCGAGAGGAUGCGCUCCCAGAAGCUGCGCCGGCGGCCGGACUCGUGCCACGCUUUCCACCCUGAGGAAAAUGCCCAGGACUGCGGUGGCGCUGCUGGGAUCUCAGUGUGCCCGACGCUGCUGCUGCUGCUGCCCCUGGUGCUGCUCCUGCGGUGACGCUGCCUGCGGUGCGAGGGCAGGAGAUGGGGUCCCCUCCUGGGACACCCUCCGCCACUUCCCGAGGUGUCCUUCAGCACAAGGUCCAGCGCGGUGCCGACCGUGGGAGCUGCUGGCUCCUCGGAAGGAGGUGCGACAGCAGCAAGGGCAGCUCCUGGCACAGCAGCUGCUGAGCGGCUCCUCCCAGACACCGCUCACAGCCGGGAAUGCUGCGAUCCUGGGCACGGAGAACAUUCCACAUCAGCCUGCCUCCCACCGAGCCACCGGGCUACCGGCGGCAGAGGGCUCGGAGGGGCAGAGCUGGCUCUAGGGGACACCACCUGCCUGUCGCUCAGGGUGAGCCACCGGGAUUUUGAACGCCCAGGUCUGGAAGCAGCAUGUCCUGGUCUUGGGGGUGGUCCCCAGGCAUAGGACACGGCACCAAAGCUGAAUGGCACCGAGCCCAGCUGGAGCUGGGCAGUGGGAGGCAGCACAGAUGAACUGGAGAGCUGCAGCUCCUCUGCCAAGGAGACCUCUCCUAACACUGCUAAGGCACCAUCCAGGCUCUUGUCCACAUGUGGACUUACCUCUGGAAAGGGGUUUUGUAUGACCCACCAGAAGAGACUUACCUGCUCUCUUCAUUGCAGAAGCAGCCAGGAAACAGGCACUUUUCCCCUGGGAGCAGCACUGCCCUGCUCAUUGCAGCUGCCCUUGGUUGUUCCUGAGCCUGGCAUUCCCAGCUGGUGGGCACGGGCCAUUUCUCACAGAGCUUUACGGACAAUGGGUGGGAAGCACCCAUUUCUCUUUUUUAUGAACUGUUCCAUACCAUCUCAUUAAAAAAUAUAUAUAUAUGGCAUAUUCUCCAUAGACACCAUAGCUUCAGCAUGUUUGGUGGUCAUCACAGCCCCACACAAAUCCCAGAAACCUGUGGGGACAGGGUGUGGGUGGAGGGACUGCAAACACAGCU